AGAGUGAGAGAAGAGCUAUUCAUCACAAGACAAUAAUAAAAUCUUCCCAACAAUUGCAGACAGACAGCUGAAGCCCUGAUAUAAGUUUGGAAGAGCA
Long non-coding RNA from Empidonax traillii (willow flycatcher), 97 nucleotides. RefSeq lists it as uncharacterized. Lineage: Eukaryota; Metazoa; Chordata; Aves; Passeriformes; Tyrannidae. The record is from RefSeq and is a predicted model, not a curated record. The transcript is spliced from 3 exons.